UACAGAGGUCUCAACCGUUGUUCGGAUUCAUUGGGCGUAAAGGGUGCGUAGGCGGUCGUGCAAGUCGGAUGCGAAAUCUCAGGGCUCAACCCUGAAACUGCAUUCGAUACUGCGCGGCUAGAGUGCUGGAGGGGAGACUGGAAUUUACGGUGUAGCAGUGAAAUGCGUAGAUAUCUGGAGGAACACCGGUGGCGAAGGCGGCAUCCUGGACCAACACUGACGCUGAGGAGCGAAAGCCAGGGGAGCAAACGGG
Molecule: ribosomal RNA, 253 nt
Filed under: uncultured bacterium
Lineage: Bacteria
Description: partial 16S ribosomal RNA
Rfam family: Bacterial small subunit ribosomal RNA
Source: RNAcentral